UACUCGAUUGAUUAUAUUAAUCCUUACACAACAUUUUUGAUGUGUUCUUAUACUGAAAGCCUUUAUUACUAUUUCAGGUAUGACCCGAGGUGGUUGGCAGUAGUCGUUGGAGGUGGUUGGAGGUGGUCGCAGGUGGACGAGGAGGACGAGGAUUUGUGCUCGGUAUGACCCGAGGUGGUUGGCAGUAGUCGUUGGAG
Molecule: long non-coding RNA, 197 nt
Organism: Neodiprion fabricii
Lineage: Eukaryota; Metazoa; Arthropoda; Insecta; Hymenoptera; Diprionidae
Exons: 3
Source: RefSeq, a predicted model, not a curated record